Molecule: ribosomal RNA, 253 nt
Filed under: uncultured bacterium
Lineage: Bacteria
Description: partial 16S ribosomal RNA
Rfam family: Bacterial small subunit ribosomal RNA
Source: RNAcentral
UACGUAGGUGGCAAGCGUUGUCCGGAAUUAUUGGGCGUAAAGCGCGCGCAGGUGGUUUCUUAAGUCUGAUGUGAAAUCCUGGGGCUCAACCCUGGAACUGCAUUGGAUACUUCCUUGCUAGAGUACUGGAGAGGAAACUGGAAUUUACGGUGUAGCAGUGAAAUGCGUAGAGAUCGUAAGGAAGACCAGUGGCGAAGGCGAGUUUCUGGACAGUUACUGACGCUGAGGCACGAAGGCCAGGGGAGCAAACGGG